RNAcentral lists this long non-coding RNA (421 nucleotides) under Heterocephalus glaber (naked mole-rat). Its description in RNAcentral is "lncRNA (ENSHGLG00000034260.1)". Lineage: Eukaryota; Metazoa; Chordata; Mammalia; Rodentia; Bathyergidae. The record is from RNAcentral.
CCGGCUUCUCGCCCUGAGCAGCUGCAGACUGAGGAGCUCCUCCCAUCCUGCAGAGUGCAGACAGACACUGUGGACGCUCGGGGCUCUGAACGCCUAAGAAAUCGCCUUGCACAAAUAAGUACACAAGCUUCUCCCCUGGUGGUUGACUUCAAGCUCUCUGAGUGACAUCAGUGAACACAUACUUGGAAAGAUAUGUGCAGCAGCAGCACAUAAUUAUGUACUAUUUCUGCCACACAAAUACAGUAAACAGAUCAGCCUGGCCCUUUCAUCUCUUGCAUGAUGUGAGGACACAGCGUUUGCCCCUCUUCUCUUGCCGUACGAGGACACAACCACAAGCCACCAUCUUGAAACCCAGAGUGAGCCUUUGCCAGAGACUGAAUGUGCUGGCUGGACCUUGACCUUCUAAGCCUCUAGAACUGUG